UACAGAGGUGGCAAGCGUUGUUCGGAAUUACUGGGCGUAAAGGGCGCGUAGGCGGUCUUGCAAGUCCCGUGUGAAAUCCCUCGGCUCAACUGAGGAACUGCACGGGAAACUGUUUGGCUUGAGUUCGGGAGAGGGAAGCGGAAUUCCAGGUGUAGCGGUGAAAUGCGUAGAUAUCUGGAGGAACACCGGUGGCGAAGGCGGCGUUCUGGACUGCAACUGACACUGAUGAACGAAAGCCAGGGGAGCAAACGGG
This 253-nucleotide ribosomal RNA is filed under the name uncultured bacterium. RNAcentral describes it as "partial 16S ribosomal RNA". It matches the Rfam family "Bacterial small subunit ribosomal RNA", at positions 524 to 776 of the family's 1533-position model. The record is from RNAcentral.